UGGAUCACUUGGCUCGUGGGUCGAUGAAGAAC
This 32-nucleotide ribosomal RNA is filed under the name Procambarus clarkii (red swamp crayfish). Its description in RNAcentral is "partial 5.8S ribosomal RNA". The record is from RNAcentral. Lineage: Eukaryota; Metazoa; Arthropoda; Malacostraca; Decapoda; Cambaridae.